Molecule: transfer RNA, 63 nt
Filed under: Megalurothrips usitatus (bean blossom thrips)
Lineage: Eukaryota; Metazoa; Arthropoda; Insecta; Thysanoptera; Thripidae
Description: tRNA-Gly
Source: RNAcentral
GUGUAUCUAUUGUAAAUAAGCAAAUUUAUUUUCCAAAUAAAAAGUCGAUAAACCGGUUACAUA